AGUUUUUCUGUUGUAGUUUGGGAGCCACUUGGAGUAAAUGUUUCGUCAGUUACUCACAAAAAAAAAAGAUUGGCAAACCUAACAAAUAGUAUGCAAUGGGAGGGUGGGUGAGAUUUUGUCCAGGAAUUUCUGGCAUUGCAACUGAAAGAUUGGCGAGCCAAAGGACGCCCUGUUUAGUGUUACUCCUGUUGAAGCCGAGGCGUAUAGUUGAAACACACGUAUCACUUCAUCUCUUUUAUGCCUCAUCAUUGUAUAGAAACUAUGUCGGUAACCCUUUGUUUAGUGUUUCGUUGAAACUUUCCUAUGUCAUUUUCAAGUGAGAUUUUUAUUUGGUUUUAGGUAGCUGUACUGAUGUGUAAAGAAUGGUGGUUGCAGAUCAUGAGAGCCAUUCAUUUAUACUAUACCAUUCCAUUUUUAUUGCUUCAAUUUUUGUCAUUUUAGCCGCUGAAUGUAGCUGGAACAGAACAUGUUGGAAUUUUAGCAUCAGGACAUCUGGCUGGUUGGAUGAUUAAACAUCCCUCUGUGUGGACACAAACAUUGUGUCUAGUUUUCAUCUGUAGAUUAUUUCUGGGAUAAUAACUUUGUCACCGACACUGUGACUUUAAAACCAGCAGUUGAACAGCCUUUCAAUUCCAAACAAGAAAUUACUCAAGUGACAUGACACUAUAUGGCUGGUAUUGGAGUAGCUAAUGCUGGUCAUAUGCAGAAUAUCUCACUGAGAAGGGGUUCUACUGUGGAAGGAGUAUCGUGUUUUACUACAGGCUGACCAGAAUCACAAACACAUUGAUUGAAAACUAUCAUCAAU
Molecule: long non-coding RNA, 805 nt
Organism: Daphnia carinata
Lineage: Eukaryota; Metazoa; Arthropoda; Branchiopoda; Diplostraca; Daphniidae
Exons: 3
Source: RefSeq, a predicted model, not a curated record